This 592-nucleotide ribosomal RNA is filed under the name uncultured bacterium. RNAcentral's name for it is "bacterial SSU rRNA". It matches the Rfam family "Bacterial small subunit ribosomal RNA", at positions 8 to 597 of the family's 1533-position model. The record is from RNAcentral.
AGAGUUUGAUCCUGGCUCAGAUUGAACGCUGGCGGCAUGCCUUACACAUGCAAGUCGAACGGUAACGCGGGGCAACCUGGCGACGAGUGGCGAACGGGUGAGUAAUAUAUCGGAACGUGCCCAGUAGUGGGGGAUAGCCCGGCGAAAGCCGGAUUAAUACCGCAUACGACCUACGGGUGAAAGCGGGGGAUCGCAAGACCUCGCGCUAUUGGAGCGGCCGAUAUCAGAUUAGGUAGUUGGUGGGGUAAAAGCCUACCAAGCCAACGAUCUGUAGCUGGUCUGAGAGGACGACCAGCCACACUGGGACUGAGACACGGCCCAGACUCCUACGGGAGGCAGCAGUGGGGAAUUUUGGACAAUGGGCGCAAGCCUGAUCCAGCCAUGCCGCGUGCAGGAAGAAGGCCUUCGGGUUGUAAACCGCUUUUGUCAGGGAAGAAACGCUUUGGGAUAAUACCCCGAGGUAAUGACGGUACCUGAAGAAUAAGCACCGGCUAACUACGUGCCAGCAGCCGCGGUAAUACGUAGGGUGCAAGCGUUAAUCGGAAUUACUGGGCGUAAAGCGUGCGCAGGCGGUCUUGCAAGACAGAUGUGA